UACAGAGGGGGCAAGCGUUGUUCGGAAUCACUGGGCUUAAAGGGCGCGUAGGCGGGCUACCAAGUCUGUGGUGAAAUCCUCCAGCUCAACUGGAGAACGGCCGUGGAUACUGGGAGCCUCGAGGGAGAUAGGGGCAGGCGGAACUGAUGGUGGAGCGGUGAAAUGCGUUGAUAUCAUCAGGAACUCCGGUGGCGAAGGCGGCCUGCUGGAUCUCAUCUGACGCUGAGGCGCGAAAGCCAGGGGAGCAAACAGG
This 253-nucleotide ribosomal RNA is filed under the name uncultured bacterium. RNAcentral's name for it is "partial 16S ribosomal RNA". It matches the Rfam family "Bacterial small subunit ribosomal RNA", at positions 524 to 776 of the family's 1533-position model. The record is from RNAcentral.